This 173-nucleotide unclassified non-coding RNA is filed under the name uncultured fungus. RNAcentral describes it as "sequence contains ITS1". Lineage: Eukaryota; Fungi. The record is from RNAcentral.
CAAGAGGUACUUCCCUAUUUCUUUUAGGGACCUCCCACCCUGUGUUUACCGACCUGUUGCUUCGGCGGGCCGAUCACUUCUGUCGAGGUGACCGUCGGCCAUGCGGGCGAGUGCUCGCCGAAGAAUUUUUAAUACUCUUUUUUUGGGUUAUCUGAGUUAUACGAGAAAAAAUU